CUAUAAACAUGAUAAUUGGCCUACAAUUCCAAGCUGUCAAGAUAACUAGAGAUUAAAUGUUCAUCCUUCCAGGCCCCCAGCCAAUGAACCUAAGAUGGGUAGAAGAUAACUGUUUUUCCUCUCCUACAAUACCCUCUCUAAUGGAGGCCGACCCAGAAUUCAGGGAGAGGGCUGUGGAGUCACAGCCACUGAACUCACCCUGGCUCCAUCCAGAAUGCUCUGGUCUGGGCUGUUUGGACAAGCAAUACAAUCUUUUGUCACAGUCUCAGAAAAAAGGACUGAAACAAGGAAGUACCUCCUGCUCAGCCCAUCAUGACAGAGUGUGAUUUUCUUCUUCGUGCCUGAGUCCCACCAUUCUCUACAGCUGUUGAAUGAGUUAAUGAAAAGUGCCAAGGGAAAGCAGACUGAGGAUGGAAAGUAGAACUGAAGAUCAAGGACUCUGGAGUCCUGCAGACAUGGGUUCAACUUAUGAGCAUGUGACCUUGGUUUCUUGACCUUGGAAGUUCAUUGACUUUUGCAAGCCUUUGUUUUCUCUUCUAAAAGAUCCACAGCAUUUUAUAAAACUUUCACCAUCCAUAAAAAAGCAAUAAUAAUAGUACCUUCCUUGAGGGGUUGUUGUUAAGGAUUGAGUGAGAAUUUUUUAAGUGUGAGCACAGUGUCUGAAACAUAACAAGUUCUCAACAAAAAGUUGGUUAUUACUACACUGCAUUUAAAGUUAAUGCUUUUAUUUACGAAUUAUUUGUAGUUGUUAACAGCAUAAUGAUCCAAAUAUAGUCAUUUCAUUGAUUUUUUUUUGGAUUAGUUUCUAUAGAGUUAGCUUCUUUAAGAAUAAUAUUUGUCUUAAUUUUAUAGUAUUUUAUACUUUUCAUAGAUAGCUUAUUUCAAUGACACAUGGCUUCGAUAGAAAGUCUAUAUAUUUCCUUGAAUCCUUUUAAAUUAUAUUUUUCUGAAAUGCUAACAACAAUGGUGGUUAGUAAGGCUGAAAAGGAGUUCCAUUUUGGUUAGUCCUGUAGUAAGGAAUUGGAUAUGAAAAGUUGGUCACAGGAAUUAGGCUGGAUACUGAAAGCAAAAUUCUCUUUACAAAGUAAAGGCACUAGAUUAAUCUUUGCCAGAUGUCAAAUAAUUAUUACAUAUGCUUUAAUACGGAAAGAUCUCGAGGGUAUGUUUGGUAAAAACUGCAGAGUGCAGAACAAUGUGGAAAAUACGUCUGGUACAUGUUUGAAAAUAAAUAUAAACAGAAAGUUAGAUUGAUAGGAAUCCAGAUAUUUAUAGAUAUAUGUGUAUGUUUAUAUAAGCCUAGAACAUUUCUGGAAGGAUUUACAAGAAACUGUUAGUAAUGAUUGUCCUGGAGAGAAUAACUGAAUAUUGAUGUUAGAAGAGAAACAUUUUAUUACAUAUUUUUUAGUAUUUGUUAAAUAUUUUAUUUGUAUUUAUUUUUCUGUUAAAAUAAAAAGCUAGUAUAAAAAUUACCACUAUCAUCAUCGAUCAUUUAUUGAAUUCUUACUCAUUGUAAGGGUAGACUUUAUACUUAUAGAAACUAAUGUUCACAAGCAUCUUGCAAGAUAAGUAGAAGUUAUGUAGUUCAUACAAUAGCUUGUAGAGAGCAAGUAAAGGACAGUUGUUUCUCCUGCUUUUAAGUAGAGUUUUCAGAAAUUUAUAAUUAACGGUCACCAGUAUAGGUAUUUAGCUCUUUACUAACAUAGAUAAUAAAAAGAAUUUCUUCAAUUACG
This 1730-nucleotide long non-coding RNA is filed under the name Homo sapiens (human). RNAcentral's name for it is "HSALNT0381211". Lineage: Eukaryota; Metazoa; Chordata; Mammalia; Primates; Hominidae. The record is from RNAcentral.